UGAUACAAGUUACAAAAGAGGUGGUUUCCAAGUGUUCGGAAAAUUGGGAAAUUUGCAAAGAAAUUUUGGAUCUUCACAUCACUGCAGGCGGCAAAGAUGUCGAAAAGAUUCUGUCGGAUCUGGUCCUGUCUCACCCACUAUCAACCGAGCAAAAACAG
Lingula anatina is the source of this 158-nucleotide long non-coding RNA. Lineage: Eukaryota; Metazoa; Brachiopoda; Lingulata; Lingulida; Lingulidae. The record is from RefSeq and is a predicted model, not a curated record.